This 1148-nucleotide long non-coding RNA is filed under the name Cricetulus griseus (Chinese hamster). RNAcentral's name for it is "lncRNA (ENSCGRG00015030693.1)". Lineage: Eukaryota; Metazoa; Chordata; Mammalia; Rodentia; Cricetidae. The record is from RNAcentral.
AACAAAUCUAACAAUGAUGAAAAACACAACUUUUCUAGCUUAUUAUAAAGGUACCAAGACUUUUAGUUAUAUGUUCUUAUCUUUGUAGUGCAUAGAUGCUGAAUGCUUUUGUGUAUACAAUGUCAAAUGGACUAUCCUUAGGAAAAAGUCAAAUUUAGCCAUACAUUCUGACUUCUAAACAUGAUGCCACCUCCACUAGAAGUUAUUGAGCCUUGAGCAACAUUGUUCCUGAUGAGCAGACUGGGGAUAGGAAUGAGCAAGGCCUUUCAGCCAGUGAGUGAAGGAGCCACGCACAUUGAGAAGGUUCCAUAAAGUGAACCCUCUAGAGAUCUGCACCCCUAGACAUCCACUCUCCUGGUUGUGUAUCAUCAUGCUGUUAUACAGAGAGAAAUCUGAUCUAUUGAAGAUGCCAUGGACACCAUCUGUUGCUCUUAUAGUUACUUCUAACUACUACACUAACAUUUCUUGUCCAUAAUAUAAGGUUUAAGUGCUUUUAGGAGAUUGUACAAAAGAACUUGGAAGACUCCCCUGCUAUCCUUUUACUUGUUGCUUAAGAUGAAAAGAAACCUGCAGUGUAGCAUUUUCUAAGACCAUCCUUAACUUAGUUUCUGGACUUCACAGUCUAGAUAUCGUAACAUCACUUCAAAUCACUAUUUUAUCUGCAAACCUUGACUUAAAUACAAGUGUUUGAAAUAUCUCUAAAGAACACUGCAUGCAAAAGGAUAUUUUGCAAGCUGUGAUCAUUUCAUGACCUGUAAAUAUAUUUUUGUGAGGAAGCUUCUUGAGCAUAUGUUCCACUUCCUCAGACACCAGAAAACUUCAUUCUUUACAUCUUUCCAUGAACAACACAUUGAUUUAGAGAAUCAAGAAUAUUUAUUAUAUCUAUUAGUGUACAGACAUCUUCUGAUACAAAGUAAGUAUUAAAAUAAUAAGAAAGAAAUAAAAAGAUGAGAAAAUGGAAACAAAAUGGAGAAAUAGAUGAAUGAAUGAUUGGCAGAUACUCCUCAGCAAUGUGUCUGUGCUCAAGAGUUUUUGCUAUUUCUUGUAUUUCUAGGUUGUUCCUAUUAAAUGACAUGUUUGAUCCUUUUCAGUAAAGUUAUUUAUUUCCAUGAUUAUAAUCAUUGAUGUGAAUUCCAUGUAAAGGUAGC